RNAcentral lists this ribosomal RNA (713 nucleotides) under uncultured bacterium. RNAcentral describes it as "partial 16S ribosomal RNA". It matches the Rfam family "Bacterial small subunit ribosomal RNA", at positions 102 to 824 of the family's 1533-position model. The record is from RNAcentral.
ACGAAUGAGUAACUCGUCGUAACCUGCUGCCUCAUAGACGAUGAUAUUGUAGACGACGAUUACUCCGCCGGAUAACAGAUGUUGUCUGAUGUUUGCUCUUUAAGAGUUGUUGCCGGCUACCCUAUGGACCUGCUUUGUAUUAGCAAGUUGGUGGGGUAACGGCUCGGCCUACGACGAUAACUAUGCGACCUGGACCUGAGAUCGUGAUCGCUGGGACGGGACUGAGACCGACUCCUACUCCUGGCAGAGGUAGGGAAUCUUCAUCUUCGGACAUGGAUCUGACUCUGACCCACCACGUGAGUGUGAAAGGUUAUCGGAUUCGGAUCCUCUGUUUCUGUAGAAAAACAAGAGUGAGUGUGAAAGUGUCACGCUGUGACUGUGUCUUUAUCUAACCGGACGGGUAACUAUAUGUACGUGCCCGCGGUAAUACUUAUGUCCCGAGCGUUAUCGUUGUUUAGAGUUAUUGAGCCUAGCGCGAGCGCUUACAUAUAUAUGAGUCCGAAGGCUGUGGCUGAGGCUUAGUACGCUUUGGCUACUGAUUCUGUUGAGUGCGAGAGCGAGAGAGUGAAAUUGCAUGUGUAUGUGUGAAAGGCAUAUGUAUAUAUAUGAACAGCAGUGGCGAAGGCGACUCUCUGUCUCUGUACCUGAAACUGACGCUCAAGAUCGAAAGCGAGCAGAAGCGAUUAGGAUAUAGAUGACUAGUGCUAGUCGAC